UUAAACGACUCUCGGCAACGGGAUAUCUCGGCUCUCGCAUCGAUKAARAACGUAGCGAAAUGCGAUACUUGGUGUGAAUUGCARAAUCCCGUGAACCAUCGAGUCUUUGAACGCAAGUUGCGCCCGAAGCCAUUAGGUYGAGGGCACGYCUGCCUGGGCGUCUCACR
Molecule: ribosomal RNA, 167 nt
Filed under: Polyspora chrysandra
Lineage: Eukaryota; Viridiplantae; Streptophyta; Magnoliopsida; Ericales; Theaceae
Description: 5.8S ribosomal RNA
Rfam family: 5.8S ribosomal RNA
About the family: 5.8S ribosomal RNA (5.8S rRNA) is a component of the large subunit of the eukaryotic ribosome. It is transcribed by RNA polymerase I as part of the 45S precursor that also contains 18S and 28S rRNA.
Source: RNAcentral